RNAcentral lists this transfer RNA (71 nucleotides) under Pirellula sp. SH-Sr6A. It matches the Rfam family "tRNA". From Rfam's summary of the family: Transfer RNA (tRNA) molecules are approximately 80 nucleotides in length. Their secondary structure includes four short double-helical elements and three loops (D, anti-codon, and T loops). Lineage: Bacteria; Pseudomonadati; Planctomycetota; Planctomycetia; Pirellulales; Pirellulaceae. The record is from Rfam by way of RNAcentral.
GGAUCUGUAGCUCAGCUGGUAGAGCGCCGGGUUGUACCUGGAGGUCGCGGGUUCGAGUCCCGCCUGGUCCA